This 1343-nucleotide ribosomal RNA is filed under the name uncultured bacterium. RNAcentral describes it as "16S ribosomal RNA". It matches the Rfam family "Bacterial small subunit ribosomal RNA", at positions 28 to 1378 of the family's 1533-position model. The record is from RNAcentral.
GACGAACGCUGGCGGCGUGCUUAACACAUGCAAGUCGAACGGAAAGGCCCUGCUUUGUGGGGUGCUCGAGUGGCGAACGGGUGAGUAACACGUGAGUAACCUGCCCUUGACUUUGGGAUAACUUCAGGAAACUGGGGCUAAUACCGGAUAGGAGCUCCUGCUGCAUGGUGGGGGUUGGAAAGUUUCGGCGGUUGGGGAUGGACUCGCGGCUUAUCAGCUUGUUGGUGGGGUAGUGGCUUACCAAGGCUUUGACGGGUAGCCGGCCUGAGAGGGUGACCGGCCACAUUGGGACUGAGAUACGGCCCAGACUCCUACGGGAGGCAGCAGUGGGGAAUAUUGCACAAUGGGCGGAAGCCUGAUGCAGCAACGCCGCGUGCGGGAUGACGGCCUUCGGGUUGUAAACCGCUUUCGCCUGUGACGAAGCGUGAGUGACGGUAAUGGGUAAAGAAGCACCGGCUAACUACGUGCCAGCAGCCGCGGUGAUACGUAGGGUGCGAGCGUUGUCCGGAUUUAUUGGGCGUAAAGGGCUCGUAGGUGGUUGAUCGCGUCAGAAGUGUAAUCUUGGGGCUUAACCCUGAGCGUGCUUUCAAUACGGGUUGACUUGAAGAAGGGUAGGGGAGAAUGGAAUUCCUGGUGGAGCGGUGGAAUGCGCAGAUAUCAGGAGGAACACCAGUGGCGAAGGCGGUUCUCUGGGCCUUUCCUGACGCUGAGGAGCGAAAGCGUGGGGAGCGAACAGGCUUAGAUACCCUGGUAGUCCACGCUGUAAACGGUGGGUACUAGGUGUGGGGUCCAUUCCACGGGUUCCGUGCCGUAGCUAACGCUUUAAGUACCCCGCCUGGGGAGUACGGCCGCAAGGCUAAAACUCAAAGGAAUUGACGGGGCCCCGCACAAGCGGCGGAGCAUGCGGAUUAAUUCGAUGCAACGCGUAGAACCUUACCUGGGUUUGACAUGGAUCGGGAGUGCUCAGAGAUGGGUGUGCCUCUUUUGGGGUCGGUUCACAGGUGGUGCAUGCCUGUCGUCAGCUCGUGUCGUGAGAUGUUGGGUUAAGUCCCGCAACGAGCGCAACCCUUGUUCACUGUUGCCAGCACGUUAUGGUGGGGACUCAGUGGAGACCGCCGGGGUCAACUCGGAGGAAGGUGGGGAUGACGUCAAGUCAUCAUGCCCCUUAUGUCCAGGGCUUCACGCAUGCUACAAUGGCUGGUACAGAGAGUGGCGAGCCUGUGAGGGUGAGCGAAUCUCGGAAAGCCGGUCUCAGUUCGGAUUGGGGUCUGCAACUCGACCUCAUGAAGUCGGAGUCGCUAGUAAUCGCAGAUCAGCAACGCUGCGGUGAAUACGUUCCCGGG